Oncorhynchus gorbuscha (pink salmon) is the source of this 143-nucleotide long non-coding RNA. RefSeq lists it as uncharacterized. The record is from RefSeq and is a predicted model, not a curated record. The transcript has 3 exons. NCBI's taxonomy places the organism in Eukaryota, Metazoa, Chordata, Actinopteri, Salmoniformes, Salmonidae.
ACACUGCAAACCCCAAUGCAGACAGACACCCACCCUCUAUCUGGGCUAUGCCAAAGAGCUGGACCAGAACAGUUUGUGUACCUCAUUCGUCGGAAACACUGCGAUACCUCGUGAAAGAGGACCCAAAAGCGACUUAACAGAAA